Molecule: ribosomal RNA, 484 nt
Filed under: uncultured bacterium
Lineage: Bacteria
Description: partial 16S ribosomal RNA
Rfam family: Bacterial small subunit ribosomal RNA
Source: RNAcentral
AUUGAACGCUGGCGGCAGGCCUAACACAUGUAAGUCGAGCGGAUGAAGGGAGCUUGCUCCUGGAUUCAGCGGCGGACGGGUGAGUAAUGCCUAGGAAUCUGCCUGGUAGUGGGGGAUAACGUCCGGAAACGGGCGCUAAUACCGCAUACGUCCUGAGGGAGAAAGUGGGGGAUCUUCGGACCUCACGCUAUCAGAUGAGCCUAGGUCGGAUUAGCUAGUUGGUGGGGUAAAGGCCUACCAAGGCGACGAUCCGUAACUGGUCUGAGAGGAUGGUCAGUCACACUGGAACUGAGACACGGUCCAGACUCCUACGGGAGGCAGCAGUGGGGAAUAUUGGACAAUGGGCGAAAGCCUGAUCCAGCCAUGCCGCGUGUGUGAAGAAGGUCUUCGGAUUGUAAAGCACUUUAAGUUGGGAGGAAGGGCAGUAAGUUAAUACCUUGCUGUUUUGACGUUACCAACAGAAUAAGCACCGGCUAACUUCGUG